RNAcentral lists this long non-coding RNA (688 nucleotides) under Rattus norvegicus (Norway rat). RNAcentral describes it as "long non-coding RNA NONRATT000985". The record is from RNAcentral. Lineage: Eukaryota; Metazoa; Chordata; Mammalia; Rodentia; Muridae.
GAAAGACCCUGAGCAGAGAAGCCAGAAAGACCUACCCAGACUCCUGACUGACUCUGUGAGGAAACAAACGGGAACACUUAUGCUGCUAAGCUUAUGAACAUUUGAUAUGAAGCAAAAGAAAAGCAAUACAGGCAGGCAAGAUUACAGCUGUCCUUUACAGUCACGAGGCCAGGCCUGAGCAGUUGCUGACAGAUAGCCUUCAGAUUUGGGAGGACAUCUGUGAGAACUCUAUCCAAGACGCUUUUCUAUGCCUCUGCCAUGCACUAGCAACCAUAUGGAUGGUCCCAGGGAAGCCCACUGCGUUGUGGUCACACUCUCUGGUGGAUUGCCAAGGGGAAAGGCUAGAAGCAGCAGUCACCUUCACCUCACUUGAGGUGUCAGGGUGGUUGCCCUUCGUUGACCGCGGUUCUCUAAAAUCUCCAUCUUUCGUUAGGGUAAAAAGUAAAUCUCAGCAUCUGUGGGUGACCGCACAGGACAGAACCCGGUCAUCAUCCUGGGAGUGCGGUGGGGGGACCAACAUGCACACUCUUAAUAUUUCUGAGCAUAAGAGUCACACAGUUCAACUAUCACAACAAUGGGAUGUAGAGGCAGGAGGAUCAGAAUUCAAUGUCAUCCUCAUCUACACAGUGAAUUUGAGGUCAGCCUGUUGAUUAUACGAGACUGUUAAAACCAAACAAAACAAAGAAAA